This 325-nucleotide ribosomal RNA is filed under the name uncultured Amycolatopsis sp. RNAcentral's name for it is "bacterial SSU rRNA". It matches the Rfam family "Bacterial small subunit ribosomal RNA", at positions 505 to 827 of the family's 1533-position model. Lineage: Bacteria; Bacillati; Actinomycetota; Actinomycetes; Pseudonocardiales; Pseudonocardiaceae. The record is from RNAcentral.
GUGCCAGCCGCUGCGGUAAUACGUAGGGUGCGAGCGUUGUCCGGAUUUAUUGGGCGUAAAGAGCUCGUAGGCGGUUUGUCGCGUCGGCCGUGGAAACUGGAGGCUCAACCUCCAGCGUGCGGUCGAUACGGGCAGACUUGAGUUCGGCAGGGGAGACUGGAAUUCCUGGUGUAGCGGUGGAAUGCGUAGAUAUCAGGAGGAACACCGGUGGCGAAGGCGGGUCUCGUGGGCCGAUACUGACGCUGAGGAGCGAAAGCGUGGGAGCGAACAGGAUUAGAUACCCGUGGUAGUCCACGCCGUAAACGUUGGGCGCGUAGGUGUGGGU